AGAGUUUGAUCCUGGCUCAGAUUGAACGCUGGCGGCGUGCUUAACACAUGCAAGUCGAACGCGAAAGGGGGCUUCGGCUCCCGAGUAGAGUGGCGCACGGGUGAGUAACGCGUGGAUAAUCUGCCCUCUUGUUCGGGAUAACUGCUGGAAACGGCAGCUAAUACCGGAUAAGCUCCACCAAUUGUAUGGUGGAGGAAAGGAGGCCUCUUCAUGAAAGCUUCCGCGAGGGGAUGAGUCCGCGUCCCAUUAGCUAGUUGGUGAGGUAACGGCCCACCAAGGCAACGAUGGGUAGCCGGUCUAAGAGGAUGACCGGCCACACUGGAACUGAAACACGGUCCAGACUCCUACGGGAGGCAGCAGUGGGGAAUAUUGCGCAAUGGACGAAAGUCUGACGCAGCGACGCCGCGUGAGGGAUGAAGGUUUUCGGAUCGUAAACCUCUGUCAGGAGGGAAGAAAGCGCAUGGCGCCAAUCAGCCAUGCGUUGACGGUACCUCCAAAGGAAGCGCCGGCUAACUCCGUGCCAGCAGCCGCGGUAAUACGGAGGGCGCGAGCGUUAAUCGGAAUUACUGGGCGUAAAGCGCGCGUAGGCUGUUGUGUAAGUUGGGGGUGAAAUCCCACGGCUCAACCGUGGAACAGCCCUUGAUACUGCGCGACUUGAAUCCGGGAGAGGGUGGCGGAAUUCCAGGUGUAGGAGUGAAAUCCGUAGAUAUCUGGAGGAACAUCAGUGGCGAAGGCGGCCACCUGGACCGGUAUUGACGCUGAGGCGCGAAAGCGUGGGGAGCAAACAGGAUUAGAUACCCUGGUAGUCCACGCUGUAAACGAUGGAUGCUGGAUGUCGGGGAGUAAUCCCCGGUGUCGUAGCCAACGCGAUAAGCAUCCCGCCUGGGGAGUACGGUCGCAAGGCUGAAACUCAAAGAAAUUGACGGAGGCCCGCACAAGCGGUGGAGUAUGUGGUUUAAUUCGAUGCAACGCGAAGAACCUUACCUGGGUUUGACAUCCGGGGGAUCCUCCCGAAAAGGGGGAGUGCCCUUCGGGGAGCCCC
This 1042-nucleotide ribosomal RNA is filed under the name uncultured bacterium. Its description in RNAcentral is "bacterial SSU rRNA". It matches the Rfam family "Bacterial small subunit ribosomal RNA", at positions 8 to 1030 of the family's 1533-position model. The record is from RNAcentral.